RNAcentral lists this ribosomal RNA (519 nucleotides) under Triticum aestivum (bread wheat). Its description in RNAcentral is "partial small subunit ribosomal RNA". Lineage: Eukaryota; Viridiplantae; Streptophyta; Magnoliopsida; Poales; Poaceae. The record is from RNAcentral.
AUGGUUUCCUACCUCGUGCACCUAUUGAUUUGUUGCCUCUUCCAUCUUCGGAGAAGGUUAAUUUUGAUGCUAAACAACGUGCUGGAAUUGAUUUUAAAAAUGCAUGAGUUAACUAAGGAAAACAUUGAGCGUAUGAAUGCUAAAUAUAAACUUGCUGGAGAUAAGGGUAGAAAACAUGUUGUGUUUGCACCUGGAGAUCUUGUUUGGUUACAUUUGCGUAAGGAUAGAUUUCCUGAUUUGCGCAAAUCAAAGCUAAUGCCACGUGUUGAUGGUCCCUUUAAGGUGUUAGAGAAAAUAAAUGAUAAUGCAUAUAAACUUGAGCUGCCUGCAGAUUUUGGGGUUAGUCCCACUUUUAACAUUGCAGAUUUGAAGCCUUAUUUGGGUGAGGAAGAUGAGUUUCCGUCGAGGACGACUUCAUUUCAAGAAGGGGAGGAUGAUGAGGACAUCAAUACCAUUGUUACACCCACAGCCCCUACUGCUACAUAUACGGGACCAAUUACUAGAGCUCGCGCACGCUAA